AGCAGCCGCGGUAAUUCCAGCUCCAAUAGCGUAUAUUAAAGUUGCUGCAGUUAAAAAGCUCGUAGUUGAAUUUCGGGAUCAAGGAAUCGGUCAUGCCUUGGUAUGUACUGGUUUUAUUGGUUCUCACCUUCUAAAGAACCAUAAUGUCAUUCAUUUGAUGUUAUGGGGAAUUAGGACUGUUACCUUGAAAAAAUUAGAGUGUUUAAAGCAGGCUUACGCUUGAAUACAUUAGCAUGGAAUAAUGAAAUAGGACGUUUGAUUCUAUUUUGUUGGUUUCUAGGAUCGACGUAAUGAUUAAUAGGGAUAGUUGGGGGCAUUAGUAUUCAAUUGUCAGAGGUGAAAUUCUUGGAUUUAUUGAAGACUAACUACUGCGAAAGCAUUUGCCAAGAAUGUUUUCAUUGAUCAAGAACGAAAGUUAGAGGUUCGAAGGCGAUCAGAUACCGCCCUAGUUCUAACCAUAAACUAUGCCAACUAGCAAUUUGCUUAUGUAUGUUUUAUGACUAA
This 504-nucleotide ribosomal RNA is filed under the name uncultured Glomus. RNAcentral describes it as "SSU rRNA". It matches the Rfam family "Eukaryotic small subunit ribosomal RNA", at positions 569 to 1078 of the family's 1831-position model. Lineage: Eukaryota; Fungi; Glomeromycota; Glomeromycetes; Glomerales; Glomeraceae. The record is from RNAcentral.